Molecule: ribosomal RNA, 492 nt
Filed under: uncultured bacterium
Lineage: Bacteria
Description: partial 16S ribosomal RNA
Rfam family: Bacterial small subunit ribosomal RNA
Source: RNAcentral
AGUGAGCGCUGGCGGUAGGCCUAACACAUGCAAGUCGAACGGCAGCACAGUAAGAGCUUGCUCUUACGGGUGGCGAGUGGCGGACGGGUGAGGAAUACAUCGGAAUCUACUUUUUCGUGGGGGAUAACGUAGGGAAACUUACGCUAAUACCGCAUACGACCUACGGGUGAAAGCAGGGGAUCCUCGGACCUUGCGCGAUUGAAUGAGCCGAUGUCGGAUUAGCUAGUUGGCGGGGUAAAGGCCCACCAAGGCGACGAUCCGUAGCUGGUCUGAGAGGAUGAUCAGCCACACUGGAACUGAGACACGGUCCAGACUCCUACGGGAGGCAGCAGUGGGGAAUAUUGGACAAUGGGCGCAAGCCUGAUCCAGCCAUACCGCGUGGGUGAAGAAGGCCUUCGGGUUGUAAAGCCCUUUUGUUGGGAAAGAAAAGCAGCAGGUUAAUACCCCGCUGUUCUGACGGUACCCAAAGAAUAAGCACCGGCUAACUUCGUG